Molecule: long non-coding RNA, 4497 nt
Filed under: Nicotiana tabacum (common tobacco)
Lineage: Eukaryota; Viridiplantae; Streptophyta; Magnoliopsida; Solanales; Solanaceae
Description: long non-coding RNA (NTAB_LNC010297)
Source: RNAcentral
CCCUACCCAUUUUUUUAAGCCAAGCCAAAUUAAGCCAAGCUGAACCAAGCCAAGUGUCAUGACCCUAAUUCACGUGACUAGCACCCGACACACUAUCUGAUCCGAGCGAACCAACCCAUAUGUCAAUACUAAAUAUGUGAAAGCUAAAAGAAAAUCUUGUACAUUUUCAAAUCAAGUCACAAAAUAUUUUUCAUUUCCAAGAUCAUAUAUAAAGUUGUUCACAAAAAUGAUACAAUCAAAUAAUCAUUCUAUACAUGUUCGAAUAAUCAUUUACACAUCCUAAUUUUAUGGACACUAGAAAAUUCAACUAAUUAUGUAGUUUCUAUUUUGUAUUCAAUAUUUUCCACGAGAAAACAGGUGCAUUUGCAUAUAUAUCCGUUUUUGGGUCACGUUUUAACUUGUACUCGCUUGUAAUUACCCACUUUUUCGUGUAACUUCAGCAUACAGGACUGAAGUAGCAAAGUCAAUCACGCAAAACUUCAGCAUUCUAGUAGACGGACCUGAAGUAGCAAGUGUGCUGAACCAAGUAUGCUGAAGUUUUUGUAUGUAAUUGAUGAACUUAAGCAUAGUAGCUGAAGCUUUAUUCUCUAUUUGCUGAAGUUUUUUGUUUGUAAUUGCUGAACUUAAGCAUAGUAGCUGAAGUUUUGUUCUCUAUUUGUUGAAGUUUUUGUUUGUAAUUGCUGAACUUAAGCAUAGUAGCUGAAGUUUUGUUCUCUAUUUGCAGAAGUUUUUGUUUGUAAUUGCACUAAAUAAGCUGAAGUUUUUUUUGUCCUAAAUUCAUUAGUUUUGUGAUUAAGCUUUUUCAAAAAUUUCAGCAGAAGAUACUGAAGUUAUUAAGUUCAUUUAUAAAAACUUCAGCACUAAAUAAGCUGAAGUUUUUUUUGUCCUGGAUAAGCUUUUUCAAAAACUUCAGAUGCUAGUUCAUUUGUAAAAACUUCAGCACUAAAUAAGCUGGAAUUUUUUUUGUCUUGGUUUCAUUAGUUUUGUCAUAAAGCUUGUUCAAAAACUUCAGCAGAAGAUGAUGAAGUUAUUUAGUUCAUUUGUAAAAACUUCAGCACUAAAUGAGCUAAAGUUUUUUUGUCCUGGAUUCAUUAGUUUUGUUAUAAUCAGACUACUAUAAAAUAAUCAGAUUGCCAACAGUAUCUAAAUCAUAAAUUUUGGAAACAAUAACCGUGAAAAGAACAGAAUUAUCAUGAAAAGAAUCACUAACUAUGAUCUUAAACUUCCCGUACGUAAAAAUAUUCACAAAUUAUUAUCUACUAACUUACGUAAUUAUUUAUAAUUUAUUUUUAAAUAAUCUGAUAAACAUAUUUAUGGCAAUCAUUCCAUGAGCUGAAGUUUCAUAGCAGCACUAACAGCAGCAGGAGAAAGAAGAAGAAGAAAACGAAGGAGGAGGAGAAAGGGGGCUGAAGUCGUUUAAAAAGUGGGUACAAGUUAAACUUUUUAAAAAUGGGUAUAGGUUAAAUGGGGGCGACCAAGUAGGGCGUCCCGUGUAAUUUUUUCGAGAAAACAUGGUAAUUUCAAACAUUGAUCCGGAGAGCUAAUUCGAAAUGUACGUUGAAACUUGGGACCCAUAAACUUGUAAGUUUAUGAGUUCCUAUAACAAUCUCAAGUUAAUAUAUAUACAAUGGUAAUUGGACAAAUGAACUAAAUUCCAAGUUUAAUAUUCUUAUAUAUCUAAUUAAUUUUUUAGUAUAAAUACAGGGUUUAGGCAAAAGUUAUUGGGUUCGCAUGAACCCUUUGCACUAGAUCCGUCCCUAACAUAGAGCACAUAAACACUAUGGAGGGGGGGACGACCAAGGCGAACGCAGUAUGAAAGAGUAUCAAACCAAGCACAUAGCAAAGAUUCCAUAAAUAUAUAUAGGGGGAAAACCUUCCGGAGAAGGGGGGCCUCUUCUCUCUCUAUUUCCUCUCCUCUGUAACCUUCAUAGUAGAAGGAAGAACAAAGCAAUCUCCAAGAGAAAAUGUAAAGUGGUUUCCUCAACUAAUUAAUGGGAGACAACAUGAAAAGUAUCAAUAAGAUUGAUUACCUCUAUGUCAUCUUAUGCAUUAUUUUCCGAUUAGUUUAUAGAUCUGGAGUUUAUUGCGUUUAACUAAGAUUUAGCCCUUCAUUUCUUCUAUUGAUUUAAUCGAAAAGGUUUCAAUAUCUUUUUGGUCAAACAAUUUAGCGUCGUAUGUGAAGAUUUCUUAGUGAAAUUUCCUAAUUUCUUCCAGAUCAAAAAUCGGAAAUAUGAUUACCCACCAAAAAGAGCGCUAAGGCAAAGCCCAACCCACGCAGGGCAAAAGCACAACAUAGAAGGAGAAAGAGAGCUGAAUACGACCGCCGAAUUUAGAAACCAUCGCUCCAUCAACCAUUGAAAUGCCAGACAAAACAAGCAACAUUAUAAAUAUCAUUUUGGCCCACCUUUUGCUCUUUGCUCAAACAGGAACACAAUCUCCGCGCAGGUGAGCGAGCAAAGAAACAUCUCAACUGGAGAAUGGGAAACUCCUACAAAAUAACCGAAAUAUCGCCCACCUCACAAUCCAACUUCUAGAAAAUGACGCCCCUUAAGCUGUACUCUCUCUCCCUCACCUAGGAGUUGCCCCAAUAGGGUUUGCCCGGGAACUUAGGGACCGAGUCGACGAGGGAGACAUCCCCAAGUUCAAAAUAUAAUUUAUCGUCCCUCCUGUCACACCUCCUUUUUUACCACCCGGGAGGGGAUAUACAAGGGAGUUUUUCCAAUUAAAGUGACAUAAAUCGAAGUGGGAUUAUUUUAUUUUUUUUCAGAGUCACUACUUGGAAUAAUUUAUUUGGUAUCCCAAGUCACCGAUUUAUUUUUAAAAUCCCAAAUCGAGGAAAUUUGACUUAUUUAAAAUUCUGCAAACCAGAAAUUCUAGAUAAGGAAUUAUGUUAACCCGGGAGAAGGUGUUAGGCAUUCUCGAGUUCCGUGGUUCUAGCACAGUCGCUUAAACUAUCAAUAAUUGGCCUAAUUAUUUGAUUUAUUACAUGUUUUAAACAUAUUGUGCAUUUUUAACUUUAUAACCGCUUUUAUUUAUUUAAAACCGCUUUUUAGGAUUUAUGGAAUUAUUUCUUGAACAAGUUACGAUUGUCGUACACUUGCCGUUUUGGAACACACCGCAAACCACGCUACAUGAAAUGCACCCGCGAUUCACGAUAUGUUUAUUUUAUUAUUAUUCAAAGUUGUUAUGAUCGGAUCACAUGAAAUGCACACCCGAAUUGGAGGUUAUAUAUCAUGACCAUGGCACGAGAACCGUACCCAUGGCCACGAUAAUUUAUUUAAUCGCACCUAAAGCAACUAGCGCAUUUGAAUUAUUUCCUUAAGAGCUAAUCUUUGAGAUUAUUGCAAAGGCACAUAUUAUGGAAAUGGAGUUGUUUGGAAGUCAAGAAAUAUUUUAUUUAUUUAGAUCAUUGACAAGUUAUUGAAAUUAUGGAAAAAGUGGGCUAGAUUUAUCUUAAGAAAGAAAUGGGUCUAACAAGGUUCACUUGACCCAGUUCUAUUAAAAGUAACAUGAUAAAAUCAAUUCAAACCCAGGACAAUGGGCUAUGUACUUAAAAUCUAGCAAAUUGAAUUCAGCCCUAAUGUUUCGGGAAACCAAGGCCCAGCGAUUUACCCCAAAAAUAUUGUUCACAUUCAAGAUGACUAUACACACCAACUAUGAAAUUAGAAAGACAAAAAAAACAAUUACACAACAUUAAACAAAAGAAAGAGAGAGAACAAAAAUAUCAUUACAGGUUCCUUACACAUUUAAGCAUUAUGGUUCAAUUUCAUUAUAUUGCUAGUCACAUCUUGCAUCAAUAACACUUUUCAGAGGUUAUCCCUCUCAAUUAUAACUAAAAGAAUGUUGUUGAACUGCUAAAUUAUAACAGUAGGUCCAUUUCAAGUAACUGAUUCUACUCAUGCCUUUAUUAAAACAAUUUUAGUUUAUUUGAAAGUAAGGGAAAUUUUUUUUGGAUACAAAUAGAGUACUUAAAGCAUAUUGAAGUGUCACUAUUUAGGAUCACAUGAAUCUGUAGAGAUUUAUUAAAAUAAAAAAUUUCUAUUCAUUCAUCAAAGUAUUAGGUAUAGAGAGUUUGUGUUUUACCUAUAACAGGAGGAAAAGCAACGCACAAUGGCUAGAUAAAAGCCAAGAAGUGGAAGUUUGGAGCUCAGCAAAAUGCAGGGAAGCAACAGCGAAGUCAUCUUGAACCAAUCGAGAGGAAAAUCUAGAAACACAUAUGAAUCCGAAGCUCACUCGAACUUAAGCUCGUCAGCGGACUCGAAUUCAACCUUGGAGCUACUAUUUUUCGCGAGAAGGGACUGUUUUUAGGUGAUUUUCCAGUUGCGUAGUGAGAUCGAAGGAAGUCACUCGUUUUCUCAUCCGUCCUCUUCGUGUUUGUGUGUGGCUUACUUAGGUAUGGAGGAGGAUGGGUGCAACUGAAGCUUUUUUUUUUUGGUGAAUGUGUGUGUGUCUUCUUUAAUUUGAUGAAAUAAGAUGGGAGAAGGGAAAACGGCUGAU